GGUUACAGCCAUGGGUGUACCGCUCUUGAACUUCUGGGUCCGAGCAUUGAAGUCCUUGCAGAAAGCCAUGGAGUUGAGUUUGUAUUGACCCAGGGCGGGGCCUACUGGUGGUCCGGGCUUAGCUGCACCCGCAUCGACGGUGAGACGGAUCGUGGCUGAAAUAGGGCGGCGUGUUAAGAUCUCUUUUAGCGUCGCCAUGCUGCAAAAUGUGGCGGCGUAAAUUGGGUUUUGCUGUAGAGUAGGUAGGGGUGUUCAAAAGGUGAGACGGAUCGUGGCUGAGACAGGGCGGCGUGUUAAGAUCUCUUUUAGCGUCGCCAUGCUGCAAAAGGUUGCGGCGUAAAUUGGGGUUUUGCGGUAGAGCAGGGGCUACUGAUGUUAGCUGCGCCGGUGACUGGAGAAUAUAAUUUGUGCAUUCUUAAAAAUCUGGGCCUGAACUUCUGGGCCAUCAUGUCAUGGGCUAUUUCAUUUUGAAGAAUCAACCCAAAUAGCCAGUAAAAAUUGUGUGGGAUAACCAUUUUCUAUAGUGGUGUUUACUUUUUAUCCAGCAUUUUUAAUACUUAGUAAUAGUAGCCACUAAUCUAUUAAAAUAAAUAUGAAAAGACUGUGUUACCUUUCUUCUACCUCUUUU
This 628-nucleotide long non-coding RNA is filed under the name Nicotiana benthamiana. RNAcentral's name for it is "long non-coding RNA (NBEN_LNC029250)". The record is from RNAcentral. Lineage: Eukaryota; Viridiplantae; Streptophyta; Magnoliopsida; Solanales; Solanaceae.